CCUACGGGAGGCAGCAGUAGGGAAUAUUGCUCAAUGGGGGAAACCCUGAAGCAGCAACGCCGCGUGGAGGAUGAAGGUUUUCGGAUUGUAAACUCCUUUUGUUAGAGAAGAUAAUGACGGUAUCUAACGAAUAAGCACCGGCUAACUCCGUGCCAGCAGCCGCGGUAAUACGGAGGGUGCAAGCGUUACUCGGAAUCACUGGGCGUAAGGAGCGCGUAGGCGGGAUAGCAAGUCAGAUGUGAAAUCCUAUGGCUUAACCAUAGAACUGCAUUUGAAACUGUUAUGCUAGAGUAUGGGAGAGGGAGGUGGAAUUCUUGGUGUAGGAGUAAAAUCCGUAGAGAUCAAGAGGAAUACUCAUUGCGAAGGCGACCUGCUAGAACAUAACUGACGCUGAUGCGCGAAAGCGUGGGGAGCAAACAGGAUUAGAUACCCUAGUAGUC
RNAcentral lists this ribosomal RNA (440 nucleotides) under uncultured bacterium. Its description in RNAcentral is "partial 16S ribosomal RNA". It matches the Rfam family "Bacterial small subunit ribosomal RNA", at positions 338 to 795 of the family's 1533-position model. The record is from RNAcentral.